AGAGUUUGAUCAUGGCUCAGAUUGAACGCUGGCGGCAUGCUUUACACAUGCAAGUCGAACGGUAACGCGGGGGCAACCCUGGCGACGAGUGGCGAACGGGUGAGUAAUACAUCGGAACAUGUCCUGGAGUGGGGGAUAGCUCGGCGAAAGCCGGAUUAAUACCGCAUACGCUCUGAGGAGGAAAGCGGGGGACCGAAAGCCUCGCGCUGCGGGAGUGGCCGAUGUCGGAUUAGCUAGUUGGUGAGGUAAAGGCUCACCAAGGCGACGAUCCGCAGCUGGUCUGAGAGGAUGAUCAGCCACACUGGGACUGAGACACGGCCCAGACUCCUACGGGAGGCAGCAGUGGGGAAUUUUGGACAAUGGGGGCAACCCUGAUCCAGCCAUGCCGCGUGAGUGAAGAAGGCCUUCGGGUUGUAAAGCUCUUUCGGACGGAACGAAACGGUUGCGGUGAAUAUCCGCGACUAAUGACGGUACCGUAAGAAGAAGCACCGGCUAACUACGUGCCAGCAGCCGCGGUAAUACGUAGGGUGCGAGCGUUAAUCGGAAUUACUGGGCGUAAACGUGCGCAGGCGGUUCGCCAAGUCAGGUGUGAAAUCCCCGGGCUUAACCUGGGAAUUGCGCUUGAAACUAGCGGGCUUGAGUGCGGCAGAGGGGGGUGGAAUUCCACGUAGCAGUGAAAUGCGUAGAGAUGUGGAGGAACACCGAUGGCGAAGGCAGCCCCCUGGGUCGACACUGACGCUCAUGCACGAAAGCGUGGGGAGCAAACAGGAUUAGAUACCCUAGUAGUCC
RNAcentral lists this ribosomal RNA (789 nucleotides) under uncultured bacterium. RNAcentral's name for it is "bacterial SSU rRNA". It matches the Rfam family "Bacterial small subunit ribosomal RNA", at positions 8 to 796 of the family's 1533-position model. The record is from RNAcentral.